Molecule: ribosomal RNA, 255 nt
Filed under: uncultured bacterium
Lineage: Bacteria
Description: partial 16S ribosomal RNA
Rfam family: Bacterial small subunit ribosomal RNA
Source: RNAcentral
CACGUAGGGCGCAAGCGUUUGUCCGGAAUCAUUGGGCGUAAAGAGCGUGUAGGCGGCUUGGUAAGUCCGCUGUGAAAGUCCAGGGCUCAACCCUGGAAUGCCGGUGGAAACUGUCGAGCUAGAGUCCGGAAGAGGAGAGUGGAAUUCCUGGUGUAGCGGUGAAAUGCGCAGAUAUCAGGAGGAACACCCGUGGCGAAAGCGGCUCUCGUGGGACGGUACUGACGCUGAGACGCGAAAGCGUGGGGAGCAAACAGG